This 460-nucleotide ribosomal RNA is filed under the name uncultured bacterium. RNAcentral's name for it is "partial 16S ribosomal RNA". It matches the Rfam family "Bacterial small subunit ribosomal RNA", at positions 338 to 795 of the family's 1533-position model. The record is from RNAcentral.
CCUACGGGGGGCAGCAGUGAGGAAUAUUGGUCAAUGGGAGAGAUCCUGAACCAGCCAAGCCGCGUGAGGGAAGACGGCCCUAUGGGUUGUAAACCUCUUUUGUCGGAGAACAAAACCCGGGACGUGUCCCGUACUGCGUGUAUCCGAAGAAAAAGCAUCGGCUAACUCCGUGCCAGCAGCCGCGGUAAUACGGAGGAUGCGAGCGUUAUCCGGAUUUACUGGGUGUAAAGGGAGCGUAGACGGCAGGGUAAGUCUGGUGUGAAAGUCAGGGGCCCAACCCCUGAACUGCCCUGGAAACUGGCAGGCUGGAGUGCAGGAGAGGUAAGUGGAAUGCGUAGUGUAGCGGUGAAAUGCGUAGAUAUCACGAGGAACACCAGUGGCGAAGGCGGCUUACUGGACUGUAACUGACGUUGAGGCUCGAAAGCGUGGGGAGCAAACAGGAUUAGAUACCCCGGUAGUC